Molecule: long non-coding RNA, 391 nt
Organism: Trematomus bernacchii (emerald rockcod)
Lineage: Eukaryota; Metazoa; Chordata; Actinopteri; Perciformes; Nototheniidae
Exons: 3
Source: RefSeq, a predicted model, not a curated record
GUGUGUGUGGAAGUUAAUCCCGAUGGUGUUGAAGUUCACGGACGUGGAGGACGACGAGCUGAGAGAGUACUGUUUCCAGGCCUUUGAAGCCUUUACACGCAGCUGUCCAAAGGAGAUGUUGCCACGGUGACAAAGCUUUGCCUUAAGUUCAUGACCUUUGACCCGAACUACAACUAUGACGAUGAAGAGGAGGAGGAAGACAGCAUGGACGUGGAGGAAGGGCUGGAGGAAGUGAGAGGAAGAGCAGCAGAAGCCUCUUCAUGGUGCUGCUGUCCGAUGCUGAGAUCCUCCGUCAGAUUAUUAAACUGGUCUCUACAGUUCGUUGGUAUGAGUGUUGUGUUUUCCAAUUACUGUCGUGCCUUACCUUAAAUCUUUCUACCCCCAGCUUUCU